This 465-nucleotide ribosomal RNA is filed under the name Vreelandella stevensii. RNAcentral's name for it is "partial 16S ribosomal RNA". It matches the Rfam family "Bacterial small subunit ribosomal RNA", at positions 338 to 795 of the family's 1533-position model. The record is from RNAcentral. Lineage: Bacteria; Pseudomonadati; Pseudomonadota; Gammaproteobacteria; Oceanospirillales; Halomonadaceae.
CCUACGGGCGGCUGCAGUGGGGAACAUUGGACAAUGGGGGCAACCCUGAUCCAGCCAUGCCGCGUGUGUGAAGAAGGCCCUCGGGUUGUAAAGCACUUUCAGUGAGGAAGAACGCCUGGUGGUUAAUACCCAUCAGGAAAGACAUCACUCACAGAAGAAGCACCGGCUAACUCCGUGCCAGCAGCCGCGGUAAUACGGAGGGUGCGAGCGUUAAUCGGAAUUACUGGGCGUAAAGCGCGCGUAGGUGGCUUGAUAAGCCGGUUGUGAAAGCCCCGGGCUCAACCUGGGAACGGCAUCCGGAACUGUCAAGCUAGAGUGCAGGAGAGGAAGGUAGAAUUCCCGGUGUAGCGGUGAAAUGCGUAGAGAUCGGGAGGAAUACCAGUGGCGAAGGCGGCCUUCUGGACUGACACUGACACUGAGGUGCGAAAGCGUGGGUAGCAAACAGGAUUAGAUACCCCAGUAGUC